This is a small nuclear RNA of Acomys russatus (golden spiny mouse), 104 nucleotides long. NCBI's taxonomy places the organism in Eukaryota, Metazoa, Chordata, Mammalia, Rodentia, Muridae. The record is from RefSeq and is a predicted model, not a curated record.
CUCUCUUUGUCAGUACAUUACUAAAAUUGGAACAAUACAGCAAAAAUUAGCAUGGCCCCCUGUGCAAGGAUGAUGCACAAAUUCAUGAAGCAUUCCAUAUUUUU